AGUGAACGCUGGCGGUAGGCCUAACACAUGCAAGUCGAACGGCAGCACAGUAAGAGCUUGCUCUUACGGGUGGCGAGUGGCGGACGGGUGAGGAAUACAUCGGAAUCUACUUUUUCGUGGGGGAUAACUUAGGGAAACUUACGCUAAUACCGCAUACGACCUACGGGUGAAAGCAGGGGAUCUUCGGACUUUGCGCGAUUGAAUGAGCCGAUGUCGGAUUAGCUAGUUGGCGGGGUAAAGGCCCACCAAGGCGACGAUCCGUAGCUGGUCUGAGAGGAUGAUCAGCCACACUGGAACUGAGACACGGUCCAGACUCCUACGGGAGGCAGCAGUGGGGAAUAUUGGACAAUGGGCGCAAGCCUGAUCCAGCCAUACCGCGUGGGUGAAGAAGGCCUUCGGGUUGUAAAGCCCUUUUGUUGGGAAAGAAAAGCAGCAGGUUAAUACCCCGCUGUUCUGACGGUACCCAAAGAAUAAGCACCGGCUAACUUCGUG
This 492-nucleotide ribosomal RNA is filed under the name uncultured bacterium. RNAcentral describes it as "partial 16S ribosomal RNA". It matches the Rfam family "Bacterial small subunit ribosomal RNA", at positions 29 to 507 of the family's 1533-position model. The record is from RNAcentral.